AUUGAACGCUGGCGGCAGGCCUAACACAUGCAAGUCGAACGAGUGGCGGACGGGUGAGUAAUGUCUGGGAAACUGCCCGAUGGAGGGGGAUAACUACUGGAAACGGUAGCUAAUACCGCAUACCAUCGGAUGUGCCCAGAUGGGAUUAGCUAGUAGGUGGGGUAACGGCUCACCUAGGCGACGAUCCCUAGCUGGUCUGAGAGGAUGACCAGCCACACUGGAACUGAGACACGGUCCAGACUCCUACGGGAGGCAGCAGUGGGGAAUAUUGCACAAUGGGCGCAAGCCUGAUCCAGCCAUGCCGCGUGUGUGAAGAAGGUCUUCGGGUUGUAAAGCACUUUAAGUGGGGAGGCGUUACUAACAGAAUAAGCACCGGCUAACUUCGUGCCAGCAGCCGCGGUAAUAC
Molecule: ribosomal RNA, 406 nt
Filed under: uncultured bacterium
Lineage: Bacteria
Description: partial 16S ribosomal RNA
Rfam family: Bacterial small subunit ribosomal RNA
Source: RNAcentral